AUAUCAUCUUUUGUACUUGAUGAUUAUAGAUGUGUAAAUGAAAGAAUAUGAAUGAUGUAAAAGAGCUUAUGUUAAAUGCAAAGAGAUAUGUUUUGAGAUAUCAUGAGAUGUAUAAGAGAAAAAAUGAUGUUAAAGAAAAGAAUGUGAAUGUAUAAGUUGAAUGCAUGUAUUUGGUUAAAAGUUAAUCAUUGUACUUGUUUAUU
Molecule: long non-coding RNA, 203 nt
Filed under: Ananas comosus (pineapple)
Lineage: Eukaryota; Viridiplantae; Streptophyta; Magnoliopsida; Poales; Bromeliaceae
Description: long non-coding RNA (ACOM_LNC024243)
Source: RNAcentral